AGUUAGUCUCAUCCGUUUCCCUAGUCAUAGGUAUUCCUUUUAGUUAGUCUCAUCCGUUUCCCUAGUCAUAGGUAUUCCUUUUAGUUAGUCUCAUCCGUUUCCCUAGUCAUAGGUAUUCCUUUUAGUUAGUCUCAUCCGUUUCCCUAGUCAUAGGUAUUCCUUUUAGUUAGUCUCAUCCGUUUCCCUAGUCAUAGGUAUUCCUUUUAGUUAGUCUCAUCCGUUUCCCUAGUCAUAGGUAUUCCUUUUAGUUAGUCUCAUCCGUUUCCCUAGUCAUAGGUAUUCCUUUUAGUUAGUCUCAUCCGUUUCCCUAGUCAUAGGUAUUCCUUUUAGUUAGUCUCAUCCGUUUCCCUAGUCAUAGGUAUUCCUUUUAGUUAGUCUCAUCCGUUUCCCUAGUCAUAGGUAUUCCUUUUAGUUAGUCUCAUCCGUUUCCCUAGUCAUAGGUAUUCCUUUUAGUUAGUCUCAUCCGUUUCCCUAGUCAUAGGUAUUCCUUUUAGUUAGUCUCAUCCGUUUCCCUAGUCAUAGGUAUUCCUUUUAGUUAGUCUCAUCCGUUUCCCUAGUCAUAGGUAUUCCUUUUAGUUAGUCUCAUCCGUUUCCCU
Molecule: long non-coding RNA, 596 nt
Organism: Oncorhynchus keta (chum salmon)
Lineage: Eukaryota; Metazoa; Chordata; Actinopteri; Salmoniformes; Salmonidae
Exons: 3
Source: RefSeq, a predicted model, not a curated record